This 439-nucleotide small RNA is filed under the name Oryza sativa Japonica Group (Japanese rice). RNAcentral's name for it is "sRNA Os01g0533850". Lineage: Eukaryota; Viridiplantae; Streptophyta; Magnoliopsida; Poales; Poaceae. The record is from RNAcentral.
UACCUUUUCUCCAAUGGCAUCUUGAAUGAGGAAUGUGUCCCCUGACAUCCUCUCAACCACUUGUCCAGUGCUCAUUUCCUUGUCAAAAAAGGCAAUGUCCUGUCUAAGUAUUGCCUUGAGAUACAAUGCCCUGAUUCGUGCAGCCUGCCUUUCUCCAGUGAUUGUCCAACAUGAUACCUCUACCAAAACAUAGCCAAUAUAUCAGGAAAUUUUGCACGCACGCACCUUGGUGACCUUGGCGAGGACGUCCGGCGAGGAGGUGGAGCCGAAGGCGUUGAUGACGUCGCCGAAGAUGAACGUCAUGAGCGGCUGCGCCAUCCCGUUCGCCACCGCCGCCGCCGCCCCCACCGCCAUCAGCGCCGCGUCCGCCCCGUCGGCGAACGCGAACAUCCGCCGCACCGCCACGCGCCCCACGUCGCUAUUCCCCGCCGCCGCCGCC